Molecule: ribosomal RNA, 506 nt
Filed under: uncultured bacterium
Lineage: Bacteria
Description: partial 16S ribosomal RNA
Rfam family: Bacterial small subunit ribosomal RNA
Source: RNAcentral
AGUGGACGCUGGCGGUAGGCCUAACACAUGCAAGUCGAACGGCAGCACAGAGGAGCUUGCUCCUUGGGUGGCGAGUGGCGGACGGGUGAGGAAUACAUCGGAAUCUACUCUGUCGUGGGGGAUAACGUAGGGAAACUUACGCUAAUACCGCAUACGACCUACGGGUGAAAGCAGGGGACCUUCGGGCCUUGCGCGAUUGAAUGAGCCGAUGUCGGAUUAGCUAGUUGGCGGGGUAAAGGCCCACCAAGGCGACGAUCCGUAGCUGGUCUGAGAGGAUGAGCGGGCACACUGGAACUGAGACACGGGCCAGACUCCUACGGGAGGAAGCAGUGGGGAAUAUUGGAAAAUGGGCGCAAGCCUGAUCCAGCCAUACCGCGUGGGUGAAGAAGGCCUUCGGGUUGUAAAGCCCUUUUGUUGGGAAAGAAAUCCAGCUGGCUAAUACCCGGUUGGGAUGACGGUACCCAAAGAAUAAGCGCCGGCUAACUUCGUGCCAGCAGCCGCCGUAA